Molecule: long non-coding RNA, 1535 nt
Filed under: Canis lupus familiaris (dog)
Lineage: Eukaryota; Metazoa; Chordata; Mammalia; Carnivora; Canidae
Description: lncRNA (ENSCAFG00845010126.1)
Source: RNAcentral
UUCUUCCCUCUUCCCUAGUCCCUCCUCCUCCUCCUUCUUCUUCUUCCCUCUUCCCUAGUCCCUCCUCCUCCUCCUUCUUCCUUCUCCUUCUUCCCUCUUCCCUAGUCCCUCCUCCUCCUCCUCCUUCUUCCUUCUCCUUCUUCCCUCUUCCCUAGUCCCUCCUCCUCCUCCUCCUUCUUCCUUCUCCUUCUUCCCUCUUCCCUAGUCCCUCCUCCUCCUCCUCCUUCUCCUUCUUCCCUCUUCCCUAGUCCCUCCUCCUCCUCCUCCUUCUUCUUCCUUCUCCUUCUUCCCUCUUCCCUAGUCCCUCCUCCUCCUCCUCCUCCUUCUUCCUUCUCCUUCUUCCCUCUUCCCUAGUCCCUCCUCCUCCUCCUCCUUCUUCCUUCUCCUUCUUCCCUCUUCCCUAGUCCCUCCUCCUCCUCCUUCUUCCUUCUCCUUCUUCCCUCUUUCCUCCUCCUCCUCCUCCUUCCUCUUUCUUUUUAUGUCAGAGAAAUUCCAAGAGAACUAGUGUGGCCACCCUCACUUCCGAAACGAAGACAGGUGCACAGAGGGAACGCGAUGUGCGCAAACCUCAGCACAGGGUCCUCGGAGAGACUUUGGUUUCCAGUGUCAGGCCUGUGUUCCCCUAGCCCAGCCCGGCAGGCUCUGCGGCCCCCUCCAGAGAUGAACAAGGGGAAGAGAGACCGACCGCUCGCAAACUUCUACGAGGAGGGGCUCUAAAUAGGGUUUCUGGCAACGCCCCCGCUCCCUGAGCCAGCCGGGCUCGGGCAUCCCCGGGGGGGGCGGGGGGGGCUCACGGGGCGCGGGCGGCUUGGGUCGCAGCCGAGGAGCGGAGCGAGGGACCGGGAGUCAGAUUCCCGAGAAAGGCACAGCUUGUCGCCUGUCGCCGCUGCGUUCCCGUCCUACGGAGCUUCGCCCGGAGCCGGAGCGCACGACUCGCCAAGCGCCCGCCCGCGUUGGAGGGGACCCGCGGGGGCCUCCCCGGGGUCCGCAGGCGCCCCCGCCCCCCCCCCCCGGCUGCAGCAGCGCCCGCCCCGCCGCCCCGCAGCCCCGCGGCCCCGCCGCCCCGGGAGGAGACCCACAGAAGGCGGGGACACCCCUCCGCAGGCAGGUCGGGGGCUUCCUCGGGCCCCCGCGGCGCGGGACCGGCCUCCACGUCGGCCCCCUCGGGCGUCGCCUUCGCCGCGGACGUGCCCGGGCGGGGGAGCAGCCCCUCGGCGGGCCGUGGCUCGCGGGGCCGCGCGCUGGGCGGGGGCCGGGGCGGGGGCCGGGGCCGGGGGCGCAGACGCCCGGAGCUCGGUCCCCGCGGUCCCCGGGGAGGCGCCGAGGCCGCCGUUGCAGGCGCGGGCGGGGUCCGCGAGGGGGCGCGGGCUCGGACCGCGGGUGUGCGCCGUCGCCCCGCACCUGCUGCACCUGCCGCACCUGCCGCACCUGCUCCUGUCCGGGGACCAGCCCCCGCCCGGCUGAGCCCCAACCCGGGGCACGUCCUGGGAACGAGGACCCGCCGGGACGAAGAGCUCUGGUUCUGACAAGAGGGU